UCCAUCCUUUCUUUUCCUCUUCUCUUCACUGUGAAGUCGAUGUGAAUUCCUCCUUCCAACCAAUCAGACACUAGUGUGGCGGUGGCGGACACUCACAAUCUUGAAUAGGAGAUUAAAUUUUGGAGGUGUUACACACUCUUAUCUUCCUAUCUACAACCGCUAUCUCUCUCUCACGACCACUAUAAGCACAUACAUGCACGCACAUAACCAUGAAAGGGGUAGCAGAGCAGAUGCAUCUGCUGCCGGGGUUCAGGUUCCACCCCUAUGAUGAGGAGCUGCUUCUCAUGUAUCUCCUCCCCAAGACUCUGGGCGUGGCUUUAGUCGCAGACAUCAACCUCUACAGAUAUGAUCCAUGGGUCCUACCUGAGCUUUUUGUAAUUUAGCCUGGAAAGCCAAUAUGAGUUGCCCAAAGAAAAAAAAGGACGAAGAGGAUCGAGGAUUUAGCACGAAUGAAUUUGAGGAGGACUGGAUUUCGACGUCAAUGUUCCAAGAAUGAUCGAUGGUGGAUCGCCUGCUCUGGGGAGAAAAUUCGCGUUACGGCCUCCGAGCUCUUGUUCUUCUUGUCCUCUUCUCUUCCCAAGAAUGAUCGAUCGUGGGUCGGCUGCUCUGGGAAGAAAAAUUCGCGUCACGGGCAACUAGCUCUGGUUCUUCUUGUCUUCUUUUCUCUCUCUCGCGGCCGUUCUUUUGCAUAUUUCCCUGCUUCUAGGUUUCUGGAAGCAGGCGAACAGGCACAGCUGAAGAAAGGAUUCAUAAUGGGCAGAUCCGGGGACUGCCUCUUGUAGAGAUUAGAGAAAGCACCUAAAGCUAUUGAACCACAAACAGGUGGUGAUGAUGCAAAGGUAUGACAAUGGUGUAGCGGAAUCAGUGAAUCUUGCAUAAACACAUGCAUCUUUGGCACCGGGGCAAUGUUUAGCCCACCAGCGCAGAGGACGCUGCCCUCCCCAUAUUGGAACGAAGGGCUGCCCCACGACGCCAAUUCAAGCAGCAACGGAGGGGGAAGCUCGAAUGCUGCGUUGCUUAGCCAGCUACCCAACGUCGCAGCUGGUGGAGGGUACGGUGGUGGUUAUGGUGGCGCAGCUGGUGGAGGGUACGGCGGUGGUGCUGGUGGAGGCUAUGGAGGUGGCUACGGUGGCGGCUACCCUUAGAGAAUCAAAAUGGCGACUUGUGAGCUAUGAGGUAGUACGUGAACUGAAGCUUUCGAUUAAGAUGAAGAACCGAAUAAAAUGAGGGAUAAACUGUGCUGCUUUCUGUCUGUUUCUUGUGUGUAACUCUUAUUUGUUAAGCGUCUGUACUUCUAUGUUGUUGUAUCAAUUAAUUUGGAGAACGAUAAUUGAG
This is a long non-coding RNA of Nymphaea colorata (pocket water lily), 1335 nucleotides long. RefSeq lists it as uncharacterized. The record is from RefSeq and is a predicted model, not a curated record. The transcript has 3 exons. NCBI's taxonomy places the organism in Eukaryota, Viridiplantae, Streptophyta, Magnoliopsida, Nymphaeales, Nymphaeaceae.